UUCUGGGGAUUAGAUUUUCUUUUGAAAUUUAAUGGAUCUGGCGGUUUUUAAAUCUUUUUAGAGGAACCUGUGAUUUAAAUGAUAGUCCACGAUUUUUUUUACCUUAAUUUUUUUGUAUACCUCUGUCGUUGAAUGUAGUGGAAGUUAAUUUUCUUAUUUUUUUAUAGAUUUUAUGUUAGGUCAAGGUGCAGUUAUAUUGGGGUUAUUAUGGGUUACAUUAAUUUUAGUUUGUGGAUUUUCUUUUUUUAUUGAGUUGAAUUUGGAUUUAAAAGUAAUUUUUUUUCUUAAAUUUUUUGAAUUUUGCUCUUAAUUAUGU
This 316-nucleotide ribosomal RNA is filed under the name Scorlupella discolor. RNAcentral describes it as "partial small subunit ribosomal RNA". Lineage: Eukaryota; Metazoa; Arthropoda; Insecta; Hemiptera; Issidae. The record is from RNAcentral.